CUACGGGGCGCUGCAGGCGCGAAACCUUUACAAUGCACGAAAGUGUGAUAAGGGAAUUCCAAGUGCUCAAGCUUAGCUUGGGCUUUUGCCAAGAGUAAAUACCUUGGCGAAUAAGUGGUGGGCAAGACUGGUGCCAGCAGCCGCGGUAACACCAGCGCCACGAGUGGCGACCAGAAUUAUUGGGCCUAAAGCGUUCGUAGCCUGUUAUGUAAAUCUUUUGUGAAAUUGUCGAGCUUAACUUGUCAGAUUGCAGAAGACACUGCAUAACUUGGGACCGGAAGGGGUUAGGAGUAUUUUGGGGGGAGCGGUAAAAUGUUAUAAUCCUCAAAAGACUACCUGUGGCGAAGGCGCCUAACCAGUACGGAUCCGACGGUGAGGAACGAAAGCUGGGGGAGCGAUCCGGAUUAGAUACCCGCGUAGUC
Molecule: ribosomal RNA, 422 nt
Filed under: uncultured archaeon
Lineage: Archaea
Description: partial 16S ribosomal RNA
Rfam family: Archaeal small subunit ribosomal RNA
Source: RNAcentral